GCGACUUGGCGGCGGGUGCCAUGCGUCUGGAGCUUCACAUUCUCUGCCCCCCACCCACCGCGCCGGCGCUCCCUUGUCACGCCUCGGGAAGCGCGCACCUGCCAAGCAGGAUGAAUAAUCUGAUAUCAUGUGAAAUGAGGAAAUAAGAAGCUUUCUGCUGACUUCAUUUUGACCCAGGGUCCAAAAGGUGAUGUAAUCCUGUGGCAAGAAGAUUCAAAACUGUGGACUAUCUUGCAAAAAAUACAAGAAGAUAUUGAAAGUUUUCAUGAGUGCCUACCACCUAAUCUCAAACACUAUCAUUCAUAUGUGCCUCAUUGAGCAAAUCUUUAAUGAGGAUCUAUAUGCCAGAUAAUGUAGGCAUUGUUCCUAAGUCAUGCAGAGGGGUUGUGUAAGCAUGGUCAUUUGCAUCAUUAUCCUGCACGUCUGAUACAGCCAAACUCCACGCCACCUGGUUUGCUCAAUAUCUUUUGCUUGGGAGCAGAAACAGAAAGUACAUGAUGGACUUCAUUGAAGGAUGGAGAUUUGGAAGACAUGAAUGGAUGAAGAACCAAACGGAGUCUCGCUCUGUUGCCCAGGCUGUAGUUCAGUGGUGCAAUCUCAGCUCACUGCAAGCUCUGCCUCCCGGGUUCAUGCCAUUCUUCUGCCUCAGCCUCCCGAGUAGCUGGGACUACAAGCGCCUGCUACCACGCCUGGCUAAUUUUUUGUAUUUUUUAGUAGAGACGGAGUUUCACCAUGUUAGCCAGGAUGGUCUCGAUCUCCUGACCUUGUGAUCCACCCAUCUCGGCCUCCCAAAGUGCUAGGAUUACAGGCAUGAGCCACCACGCCCAGCCAACUUAUAACUUUUAUAUCAUUAGACACAUGGAAUAUGGGCCUCCGUUUGUACUCUUGCCCUUGGCCCCACAAACGUUAGGGAGAGGCCUGGCUCCUGCAAUGUACUAUUUACCUGUUGUAAAGAAUAGCCCUUCAAAAGUAUUAUUCUAAGUCUGUUUGACAUAAUAGGUCCAAAUUGUAUUACAACAUGGUAAAAAAACAACAAUCCAUUAACAAUCCUCUUUGGAUUUCUAAAAAAGUUUUGGUAGCCUAAACUCUUUCCCCAAUUUUUGAUAUCACUUCAUGUCAUUUUAGAGAGUAAGUUUUCCUGUUUUAUUAAUGUUUAUAUUUAAGCUGAAUUUUCUAAAAGAAUUGUGAGUGUUUUUAUUCUAUUGUGACAUUCAAGGUACGCAGCUGACCCUUGAGUAUAAGUCCCAUCAACUAAGUAAACAUCAAACAUAUCUUCAGUACAUCCCUUUAGAUCUUGACAGUUAUUUAUCACUUUUUCAUAAGUUCCAAAGUUCCAGAUGGUUACUGAUACAUUCAGGCUGACCACUGCUAGAUUUGAGACUUGUCCCACAGAUCUGCACUGUAUCUUCAUACCUUCAUUAAUAGAUCUUUUAUUCUUUUUUUUUUUAAUUUUUUUGGAGACGUGGGUCUCAUUAUGUUGCCCAGGCUGGUCUUGAACUUCUGGCCUCAAGUGAUCCUCCCAACUCAGCCUCCCAAAGUAUUGGAAUUAUAGGUGUGAGCCACUACACCCAGCCUAGAUCUCAAUCAGGUGACACUGAAAAUGUUUGGUCAUAAACCACAGUGAAGGAAGGGGAGGCAGCUGUUAGAUCAUCUGCCUUGACCCACAGUCCUCAUCCAUUUGCACCUUGGCAAGCCCUCUACUACAUCUGAAUCUCGAAAUGGGGGAUAACCUCUUGGGAGAGUCUAUGCUAGUACCCUUCUAGUAGUAGUUUACAAUCUGCCAACAAAUCUUGAAGCCUUAUUUGGUUGAUAUCAAUUUGAGAGGUGGGAGGUUCAGUUUCCAAAGAGUCAGGAAAGAGCAUUCAUCUAGGCUUGAGAAGCCUCCAUUUCCUAACUCAAGAGUUCUGAUUAGGUUGUUGGUUGAGUGACACAAGGCAAUCAUCUCACUUUUCUGUUCCUGAGCUUCUCCUUUUAUAGAAUGUGGGCAGGAGUGUGGAGAGGGAGAAUUUAUUUCAUUUCCUGUUUUCCAAACUUACUAAACUGUGGAAACUUUUUCUUUUGCAGCAUUGGGCAAAACUGAUGUUCUAAGGAACAUUCUUUAGGAAAGGUUAGCCAGAUCCGUGGUUCUCAACAGGCAUGUGGUACACAUUUAAUAAUGUCUGGAGACGUUUUUGGUUGUCACAACUGGGGAUCCAGGGAUGCUGCUAAACAUCCUGCAAUGCCUAGGACAGCCCUCCACAACGGAGAAUUAUCCAACUCAAAAUGCCAAUCAUUCUAAGGGGUUGAAAAACUCUGGACUAUAUGAACUAUCUCAAUUCUCUUUCAACACUAACAUUUAAAUGUGGUGUUUCUUGUUUUUUAAACACACAAAAUUUUAUUUCUGUUUUACACAAAGUCAGCUAUGGGUAUGGAUGAAUCUGCGGACAGUUUUCUUCCAUGUGUUGGCUCCAUAUUUCAGCUGCUUUGAUCUUUUUGACAUCUUAUCAAUGUGUUCUUCUAUGAUUUCCUUGGCAGAGAAAGAGAAAGCAGAGAGAAUCAUGUGCUGGAUCUUAAAUGCUUCUACGUGGAUGUAGUAAAUGUCUCUUCUACUUUUUUUAAAUAAGAAGUGUAUUAAAAUAUAAUCCAUGUAUCAUAUAAUUUACUCAUUUAAGGCAUAAAAUUCGGCUGGGUAUGGUGGCUCACACCUGUAAUCCCAGCACUUUGGGAGGUUGAGGUGGGGUGAAUCUCUUGAGCCCAGGAGUUUGAGACCAGACUGGGCAACAUGGCAAAACCCCAUCUCUACAAAAAAUACAAAAAUUAGCCAGGUGUGGUGGCACGCACCUGUAAUCCCAGCUAUUUGGGAGGUUGAGGUGGGAGUAUUGCUUGAGUUUUGAAGGCAGAGGUUGCAGUGAGCCAAGAUUGUGCCACUGCACUCCAGCCAGGGUGACAGAGUGAGACUGUCUCAAAAAAAAUUUUUCAGCUAAAAUAAAGUGUAAAACUCUGUAGUUUUUAGUGUAUCCACAAAAUGUGUGCAAUCGUCUCUACACUCAAUUUUAGAACAUUUGAAUCACCCCCAGAAGAAACACUGUACCUAUUAACAGCCAUUCCCAAUUUUCCCUCAACACCUCCACCUCAGCCCUAGGCAACCACUAACCUAUUUUCUAUCUCUAUAGGUUUACCUAUACUGGAUAUUACAUAUAAAUGGAAUCAUGUCCUUUGUAACUGUCUUCUUUCACUUUGCAUAAUGUUUUCAAGGUUCAUUCAUGUUGCAUCCUUCUCAAUAUUUCAUUUUUAUUGCUGAAUAAUAUUCCAUUGUAUGAAUAUAACACAUUUUAUUUAUCCAUUCAUCGCUUGAUGGAUAUAUGAGCCAUUUCUACUUUUUAGAUAUUCUGAAUAAUGCUGCUAUGAAUACUUAUAUGCAAGUUUUUACAUGGACGUAUGUCUUCAUUUCUCUUAGGUUAUAUAUCUAAGAAAGGAAUUACUGAAUCAUACGAUAACUUUAUGCUUAGACUUUUGAGAAACUGCCAGACUGCUCUCCAAAAUGACUGUGCCAUUUUACAUUCCCAAAAGUAAUGUAUGAAGUUUCUAAUUUUUCCACACCCUCACCAACACUUAUUAUCUGUGUUUUUGAUUCUUGCCAUCCUAGUGUGUGUGAAGUAGUUUCUCACUGUGAUUUGUAUUUGAAUCUUCUUGAAGGCUAAUGAUUUUGAGCAUCUUUUCAUGUGCUUAUCGUCUCUUCUUUAUAUAGAUGUCUAUUCAGGUCCUUGGCCCAUUUUUAAUUUGGGCUAUUUGUCUUUUCAUUACUGAGUUUUAAGAAUAAUUUUUGUUUAUUCUAGACACACAUCCCAUAUUAGAUAGGUGAUUUGCAACUAUUUCCUCCCAUUCUGUAGGUUUCUUGCUGGUGUCCUUUUAGGAAUAGAAGUUUUACGUUUUGAUGAAGUCAAGUGUGUAUGUUUUCUUUUGUUGCUUGUGUGUUUGAUCUCAUAUCAAAAAACCAUUGCACAAUCCAAGGCCACAAAGAGUUAUGUCUAUGUUUUCUAGAUUUUUAUCAUUUUAGUGCUUACAUUUAGGUCUUUGAUCUUUUUGUGUUAAUUUUUUAUAUUGGGUGUGAGGUAAAAAUCCAACUUCAUUCUUUUGCAUGUGAUAUCCAAUUAUCCAGAACCACUUGUUGAGAAGGCUAGUUCUUCCUCACUGGAUUAUCUUGGCACCCUUGUCAAAAAUAAGUUGACUGUAGAUGUGAAGGUGUAUGAGUUGCUAAAAUACCUCUUCUGUGAUAUUUAUAAUUUAUUUUCUAAAAGGAUAAGUUAUAGGUCACAUCUCAGAUUACAAUGAUUCAAGUCAAAAAGUUCAAAGUAGAAUUUACUUUCAAAAUUGUUUGUUCCCCCAGAGCUAGUUAAUGCCCCCAGAGCUAGUUAAUAAACUCUAUUUGCAGAUAAAAGCAUGCUUUCCCUUCAAAGGUAUUUCACCAAGACGGGAAACACAAAACUAAAUAAGCUGGGAAACUGAGGAUACACAGAGGGUCUCCUUAAUCUCUGGAUAUGUGGUCUAAUGUAUCCUUUUUGUGCUCAUUUUUUCCCUUUUAUCCAGAAAUACAACAUUACCUUUUUAUAAAAUUCCUGGAGAUUGAUCAUAUCUCUAGUGUUUGGGUCUAGAAUGUAUUUUUUGGCCAAAACAUCUCUUUACCCCACUUCCACAUGUGGAAAGAAAGAAAACAUGGUACUCUAAUCUCACAAGUGAGGCAUGGGGUUGUUUCCUGAAAUGAGGCAAGGACUUUGGACAAGAACAUGUUUGGACUUGAGAUGGUUUUUGUAAACCCAAAUGAUAUUAGUUCUAGUCUGUCUUUAUCGCUCACUGUAUUUUGUUUUCAUUCAUACUAAUGAAUAAUAGACUUGAUUGUGUUCCAUCAUUUAUGUCAUUAAUAUUUCCUUUAUGUUUGAGUGCUGUGCAGUUCUCCUUGAAACUUGUAUGGAGAUUGAACUUGAUAGUGAUUUAAAGUAAUUAAUUCAUAUGUCAGUUGUUAGCAAGGUCUAGUAAUUAAAAUCUACUUUAGAGUAAGUUAUUAACUCUCCAAAAUAAAAACACUUUAUCAACUUAC
Homo sapiens (human) is the source of this 5074-nucleotide long non-coding RNA. Lineage: Eukaryota; Metazoa; Chordata; Mammalia; Primates; Hominidae. The record is from Ensembl.